Molecule: long non-coding RNA, 235 nt
Filed under: Fukomys damarensis (Damara mole-rat)
Lineage: Eukaryota; Metazoa; Chordata; Mammalia; Rodentia; Bathyergidae
Description: lncRNA (ENSFDAG00000022599.1)
Source: RNAcentral
GCUCUCCUGAGGUCCUGGGAACUGAGUUUUCCCCAAAGGUCUGCUGAAAACAUGGGCCUAGACAGAUUGCUGUGACACGUGCAUCAGCCUAUGUCCCCGAUGCUGCAGGACUAGCCCUGGCAGUGAGGGCCGGGCUGCUGGGCAGGAAAAAUGCUAUGGGAAGGAGAAAUUUCUCAGUGACUUUAUCUGCAUCUAACCUGAGAGCCUGAAAAAAAAAAAAACUUGAGUUGAUUAU